GUUAGAUGUAGUGGUCACUCUGAGGGGGUCUCUUCCUCUCUGAGGAGAGAUAGGGCUGAUAAGAAAUCAGAAGAAGCUACUUUUGUAACUACUGAUAUUAUAAGGUUGACUGGAAGUGUAAAAUUUGAAGUAUAUGACAAGGAAGAUUUGAUUCUUUCUGGGAUUCUAGAGAUGGCAAAUUGUAAUGGUUUAUUAGGGGAAUCAAAAGGCAAUGCAAAGAAGUGGAACAUGAGUUGCAUGUCGAAGUUGGGUGUUGGUUUCUUGAAGGGAAAGCAUUUGACUGGAGCUGAAACCACUUCCCCGAUAAUCGAUGUCUAUGUAGCUGGUAGCUUCUCCGGAAAUCCUAUCAUCUUGACCAGAACUUUGCAUCUAAGCUCCCGAAAGAAGCAAAGUUGGAAAUCCAUGUUGGAUGUGAUACCAGAAUCCGAGACACCUGAAUCUAAUGAAGAUCAAUUUCCAGAAUAUGAUUUACAGGGCACAGAAUAUGCAAGAUACAAACAGGACAUUGACAACAGUGAGGACGACUACUACAAUAACAUGUACUGGAAGAGGAGAGAAUAUUUAGACAAUGAAGAUGGUGAACUCUCCUGGUUUAAUGCAGGUGUGAGAGUUGGUGUUGGUAUAGGGCUUGGUGUUUGUUUAGGAAUUGGUGUGGGAGUCGGCUUGCUCGUCCGUACCUACCGAGCGACUACUCGAAAUUUCACAAGGCGGUUCGUUUAACAAAGCCAACAGUCAUUGAAGUCUGGUUUUUCUUUUUUGUAGAAAUACUUGUGUAGCUGAAAUUUUGAUUGUGUAAAACUUGGAUGUUUAAAGAGAGUGAUGGAGCAUUACUUGUUUGUCCUUUGAGAGGAACAAUGAGAUGAUCGAUCAUUUUAAGCUUUGUUAAUCUUUGUCCGCAUGUAUAGUAGCGUGAUUCUGUUGUAU
RNAcentral lists this unclassified non-coding RNA (924 nucleotides) under Hevea brasiliensis (rubber tree). Lineage: Eukaryota; Viridiplantae; Streptophyta; Magnoliopsida; Malpighiales; Euphorbiaceae. The record is from RNAcentral.